RNAcentral lists this ribosomal RNA (201 nucleotides) under uncultured bacterium. RNAcentral describes it as "partial 16S ribosomal RNA". It matches the Rfam family "Bacterial small subunit ribosomal RNA", at positions 28 to 222 of the family's 1533-position model. The record is from RNAcentral.
GACGAACGCUGGCGGCGCGCCUUACGCAUGCAAGUCGAACGGACCUUCGGUCAGUGGCGGACGGCUGAGUAACGCGUAGGUAAUCUGCCCAGUAGCAGGGGAGUAACCCUCCGAAAGGAGGGCUAAUACCGCAUGAGUCCCCACGGCGUGAAAUAGCGGUGGGGGGAAAGGGGAACGACGACGAACUAAGUCGGCCGUACC